Molecule: transfer RNA, 75 nt
Filed under: Sporichthya sp.
Lineage: Bacteria; Bacillati; Actinomycetota; Actinomycetes; Sporichthyales; Sporichthyaceae
Description: tRNA-Ile
Rfam family: tRNA
About the family: Transfer RNA (tRNA) molecules are approximately 80 nucleotides in length. Their secondary structure includes four short double-helical elements and three loops (D, anti-codon, and T loops).
Source: RNAcentral
GGGGCGGUAGCUCAGCUGGUUAGAGCAGGGGACUCAUAAUCCUCCGGUUCGUGGGUUCGAGUCCCACCCGCCCCA